UUUUAAGGAGAUGCCUACAUAGAAGAGUGACAGCAGGUGAACUAAAUGUUUAACUGCUGAACUAGUUCCUCAGGUAUCCUGGCUCUAGAGAUUGCUAUGGGAGAUUGGAUGACUGUUACAGAUCCAGGUCUGUCUUCAGAAAGCAAAACUAUCUCUCAAUAUACCUCAGAAACAAAGAUGUCUCCAUCAAGUUUAUACUCACAGCAAGUGCUAUGUUCUUCAAUACCUUUAUCGAAAAAUGUGCACAGUUUUUUCAGUGCCUUCUGCACAGAAGAUAAUAUUGAACAGAGUAUUUCAUAUCUUGAUCAGGUAACAUGUUUUUGUAAAAAACAAUAGCAUAAAUCAUGUUAUAUAAUAGAAUGUAUCAAAAUUAUGAGAAAAACAUUUGUCAAACACAAGUUUGUUGUUAUGUAGUGCCCCUGAGACUUAGAUUUUCAGAGAACCUUGGUGAUUAUCUCAUCUAGAGAUAGCAAGUCUAACUUUUUUGUUUGGAGCCGCUUCGCCUCCUCAUUGUCCCAGGGGCUCCUCUACUGAGAGUCCAGCCAUCACUUUAUGGAUGCAGAAACCCAUGUGCCUUGCUCCAUGUCACAGAUUUAUAGCAGAGGCUAAAAGAUCCCUGUCCUCUUAACUCUUUGUCCUUUGGGAUAUUGACCAUUUUCUUAACUAUUUCAAGAUAGUUUUCUAUUUUUCUAAGAAAAGAUUUCUAUCUUUUGAUUUUUUUUAAUUAAGUUGUCCAGUAACCAACCUUUUAAAAUAAUUCACAUUUAUUUUUAAUUUUUGACAAAAAGUGUAUAUAUUUGUCAUGUUCAACAUGUUUCAGAAUACACGUUGUGAAAUGGCUCAGUGUGCAUACCUCACAUACUUAUAUCAUUUUUUGUGGUGAGAAUUUACUCGCUCAGCAAUUUCAGGAAUAUAGUACAUAGUUAUUAGCUGAGGUCACCGUGUUGUACAAUAGAUCUAUUGAACUUAUUCUUCCUAUCUAACUGAAAGUUUGUAUCCUCUGACCAGUGUCUCCUCAACUGUAACCAACUUUAAGAAAACAUUUUCUCCUACCAGGAAUUGACUACUUUUGGUUUUCCUUCAUUAUAUGAAGAAUCCAAAGGUAAAGAGACAAAGAGAGAGUUAAAUAUAGUAGCUGUUUUAAAUUGUAUGAAUGAGCUGCUUGUGCUUCAGCGGAAGAACCUUCUAGCUCAGGAAAAUGUGGAGACACAGAAUUUGAAGCUGGGAAGUGAUAUGGACCAUCUACAGAGCUGCUACUCAAAACUUAAGGAACAAUUGGAAACCUCCAGGAGGGAAAUGAUUGGGCUUCAGGAAAGAGACAGACAGUUACAAUGUAAGAACAGGAAUUUGCAUCAGCUACUAAAGAAUGAGAAAGAUGAGGUACAAAAAUUGCAAAAUAUCAUUGCAAGUCGAGCUACUCAGUAUAAUCAUGAUAUGAAGAGAAAAGAGCGUGAAUAUAAUAAACUGAAGGAACGUCUACAUCAACUUGUUAUGAACAAGAAAGAUAAGAAAAUAGCUAUGGACAUUUUGAAUUAUGUCGGGAGAGCUGAUGGAAAAAGAGGCUCCUGGAGGACUGGUAAAACUGAAGCCAGGUGAAGUCCAGUUUAAAUUGAUAAAUGUAAUCAGACUUCCUUCUAUCCUGCAUUUUCAUACUGACAGUUUCUUUCUCAGGAAUGAAGAUGAAAUGUAUAAAAUUCUCUUGAAUGAUUAUGAAUAUCGUCAGAAACAAAUCCUAAUGGAAAAUGCAGAACUUAAGAAGGUUCUUCAACAAAUGAAAAAGGAAAUGAUUUCUCUUCUUUCUCCCCAAAAGAAGAAACCUAGAGAAAGAGUAGAUGAUAGUACAGGAACUGUUAUUUCUGAUGUUGAAGAAGAUGCCGGGGAACUAAGCAGAGAGAGUAUGUGGGACCUUUCCUGUGAAACUGUGAGAGAGCAGCUUACAAACAGCAUCAGAAAACAGUGGAGAAUUUUGAAAAGUCAUGUAGAAAAACUUGAUAACCAAGGUAACCACUGCUUCUAUGCAUGUAAAGUGAGUUGUGACAUUUGGUAAGGUGUUGAUUUUUAGUCACUUAGAAAGCCACAUUAUAGGCUUAGAGCUAAAGUACUAUACUUCA
Molecule: small RNA, 2111 nt
Filed under: Pongo abelii (Sumatran orangutan)
Lineage: Eukaryota; Metazoa; Chordata; Mammalia; Primates; Hominidae
Description: retained intron
Source: RNAcentral